CGGUUGAUCCUGCCGGACCCUACUACUAUUGGGGUGAGACUAAAACAUGCAAGUUGAGCGUCCUCAAGCUAUUGCAGGACGCAGCGUAUGGCUCAGUAACACGUGGCCAACCUACCCUUGGGACGGGAAUAACCUCGGGAAACUGAGGCUAAUUCCCGAUAGGUGAGGAUGCCUGGAAUGGAUCCUCACCCAAAGGACGUCAAGAGGCAUGCUUCUUGACGUCGCCCAAGGAUGGGGCCGCGUCCGAUCAGGUUGUUGGUGAGGUAACGGCUCACCAAGCCUAUAACCGGUACGGGCCGUGAGAGCGGUAGCCCGGAGAUGGGUACUGAGACAAGGACCCAGGCCCUACGGGGCGCAGCAGUUGCGAAACCUCCGCAAUGCGCGAAAGCGCGACGGGGUCACCCCAAGUGCUAUCCUCUGAGGAUAGCUUUUAUUCGACGUAAUGAGUCGAAAGAAUAAGGGGAGGGCAAGACUGGUGUCAGCCGCCGCGGUAAUACCAGCUCCCCGAGUGGUAGGGAUAAUUAUUGGGCUUAAAGCGUUCGUAGCCGGCCUGCUAAGUCUCCCGUUAAAUCCAGCGACCUAAUCGUUGGGCAGCGGGAGAUACUAGCAGGCUAGGAGGCGGGAGAUGCCGACGGUAUUCUCGGGGUAGGGGUGAAAUCCUAUAAUCCUGAGAGGACCACCAGUGGCGAAGGCGGUCGGCAAGAACGCGCUCGACGGUGAGGGACGAAAGCUGGGGGAGCGAACCGGAUUAGAUACCCGGGUAGUCCCAGCUGUAAACGAUGCGGGCUAGGUGUUGGAGCGGUUACGAACCGCUUCAGUGCCGCAGGGAAACCGUUAAGCCCGCCGCCUGGGAAGUACGGUCGCAAGACUGAAACUUAAAGGAUUUGGCGGGGGAGCAC
This 899-nucleotide ribosomal RNA is filed under the name uncultured archaeon. RNAcentral's name for it is "bacterial SSU rRNA". It matches the Rfam family "Archaeal small subunit ribosomal RNA", at positions 5 to 879 of the family's 1478-position model. The record is from RNAcentral.